GGGCCCGCACAAGCGGUGGAGCAUGUGGUUUAAUUCGAUGAUACGCGAGGAACCUUACCAGGGCUUAAAUGUAAGUUGCAUAGAUCAGAGAUGGUCUUUUCUUCGGACUACUUACAAGGUGCUGCAUGGUUGUCGUCAGCUCGUGCCGUGAGGUGUCAGGUUAAGUCCGGCAACGAGCGCAACCCACAUCCCUAGUUGCCAGCAGUUCGGCUGGGCACUCUAUGGAAACUGCCCGUGAUAAGCGGGAGGAAGGUGUGGAUGACGUCAAGUCCUCAUGGCCCUUACGGGUUGGGCUACACACGUGCUACAAUGGUGGUGACAAUGGGUUAAUCCCAAAAAGCCAUCUCAGUUCGGAUUGGGGUCUGCAACUCGACCCCAUG
RNAcentral lists this ribosomal RNA (380 nucleotides) under uncultured bacterium. Its description in RNAcentral is "bacterial SSU rRNA". It matches the Rfam family "Bacterial small subunit ribosomal RNA", at positions 917 to 1322 of the family's 1533-position model. The record is from RNAcentral.